UACGAAGGCGGCCAGCGUUGUCCGGAAUUACUGGGAGUAAAGCGCGCGCAGGCGGUCUCUUAAGUCUGAUGUGAAAGCCCACGGCUCAACCGUGGAGGGUCAUUGGAAACUGGGGGACUUGAGUGUAGGAGAGGAAAGUGGAAUUCCUCGUGUAGCGGUGAAAUGCGUAGAUAUGUGGAGGAACUCAAGUGGCGAAGGCGGCUUUCUGGCCUACAACUGACGCUGAGGCGCGAAAGCGUGGGGAGCAAACAGG
Molecule: ribosomal RNA, 253 nt
Filed under: uncultured bacterium
Lineage: Bacteria
Description: partial 16S ribosomal RNA
Rfam family: Bacterial small subunit ribosomal RNA
Source: RNAcentral